Molecule: ribosomal RNA, 586 nt
Filed under: Saccharomyces cerevisiae (brewer's yeast)
Lineage: Eukaryota; Fungi; Ascomycota; Saccharomycetes; Saccharomycetales; Saccharomycetaceae
Description: eukaryotic LSU rRNA
Rfam family: Eukaryotic large subunit ribosomal RNA
Source: RNAcentral
ACACGGGAUGCCUUAGUACGGCGAGUGAAGCGGCAAAAGCUCAAAUUUGAAAUCUGGUACCUUCGGUGCCCGAGUUGUAAUUUGGAGAGGGCAACUUUGGGGCCGUUCCUUGUCUAUGUUCCUUGGAACAGGACGUCAUAGAGGGUGAGAAUCCCGUGUGGCGAGGAGUGCGGUUCUUUGUAAAGUGCCUUCGAAGAGUCGAGUUGUUUGGGAAUGCAGCUCUAAGUGGGUGGUAAAUUCCAUCUAAAGCUAAAUAUUGGCGAGAGACCGAUAGCGAACAAGUACAGUGAUGGAAAGAUGAAAAGAACUUUGAAAAGAGAGUGAAAAAGUACGUGAAAUUGUUGAAAGGGAAGGGCAUUUGAUCAGACAUGGUGUUUUGUGCCCUCUGCUCCUUGUGGGUAGGGGAAUCUCGCAUUUCACUGGGCCAGCAUCAGUUUUGGUGGCAGGAUAAAUCCAUAGGAAUGUAGCUUGCCUCGGUAAGUAUUAUAGCCUGUGGGAAUACUGCCAGCUGGGACUGAGGACUGCGACGUAAGUCAAGGAUGCUGGCAUAAUGGUUAUAUGCCGCCCGUCUUACAACCCGAAAACA